UACGUAGGGUGCGAGCGUUAAUCGGAAUUACUGGGCGUAAAGCGUGCGCAGGCGGUCUGUUAAGACCGAUGUGAAAUCCCCGGGCUUAACCUGGGAACUGCAUUGGUGACUGGCAGGCUUUGAGUGUGGCAGAGGGAGGUAGAAUUCCACGUGUAGCAGUGAAAUGCGUAGAGAUGUGGAGGAAUACCGAUGGCGAAGGCAGCCUCCUGGGCCAACACUGACGCUCAGGCACGAAAGCGUGGGGAGCAAACAGG
Molecule: ribosomal RNA, 254 nt
Filed under: uncultured bacterium
Lineage: Bacteria
Description: partial 16S ribosomal RNA
Rfam family: Bacterial small subunit ribosomal RNA
Source: RNAcentral